GAGGAAGGACAGCUGUGAAAACAACAGCUGGAAAAUGAGUCGGAAGCACAGUAGCAUCUGGAUGCAUUUUAAUAAUGUAGACAAUGUUAGAGCACAGUGUAGAAUUUGCCAAAACAAAAUCUCAUAUAAAGCCGGUUCUACGCACAACCUACACCAGCAUAUGCGAACUGUGCACCCAACUGUGAAGCUAGCUGUAGCGGAGCUUCGAGAAACUUGCGGGCCUGCUAGUGAUAGUGGCGGAGUCAGCACCUUCACACGUGGAGUGGUAUCCACUCAGUCAAGUAAGCCUACUCCGUGACCCACAUUAACGCAGUCUUCUAUGGACAAGGUUAUGCCAAAGUCUAUAUCUGUCGCAAAACAAGGCCAAAUUGAUAUUGCAUUGGCUAAAAUGAUUGCCACUGAUUUCCAAACAUUUUCCAUCGUGGAGGACAGGUUUUUAGAAAUUAUAGCAAUAGUCACAAUCGAAUGUACACAAUUCCAAGCAGGAAAACCCUUUCAAAAUCACCUGAUUGUAAGAGAUGCUCUGAAGGUGAUGAAGUCCACUGUGGAAUACUUCAACCACAAGAGCACAGUAGGUGCUGAAAAACUAAAAGUCUAUACAAUGCCAGAUGGGGAUGCCUGUGCUGAGGCCUAAACAAGACUGCACUACAAGGUGGAAUUCAAUAUUUUAUAUGUUGAAGCGGCUUCUUGAGUCAAAGGAUCCAUCAUCUCUACCCUGGCCAUUGUCACAAGGCACCUGCUGAUGCUCUGACCCAAGAGGAAAGGGAGGUGGUGGAGGAGGUGUGCAGAGUCCUGGAACCCUUUGAGCAGGUCACUGUGGAGAGAGCUAUGUGACAGCCUCAAAAAUGAUACUCCUGUGUGAGGGUGUGCAGCGAAUCACAGCCAGCUGCCAGAGAGAAGCAAAUGUAACCACAGGACAUGUGACAGUGCAUCUUCAGCGUAAUUAAACCACCUCAACUGGAAUCCUACCUGUCUGUCAUCUGUGCCCUUACCAGCACACGGGAGCAAACACAUAUUAUGUAGAAAAUCGUUUUAUGUGAAACCACACCAAACAUUGUUUAAACAAUUAGUUUUAUUUAGAAAAGUAUAAGCUUAUGUCUUUAGCAUCGUCAAUAAUGCCAUAGAUUGACAGAAAAAUGAUGGCUAUUUGUUUGGAAUUGGGUUUUUUUGUCAAGAAAUUAGCUCCACCUAAUAAUGGCAGAGAUGAAAGGAGUUAAGAUAGAUUGUUCAAUCAUAGUUAUUCUCAAUAGUAAUUAGUGAGAAUAGGUGAGUAUAUCUGUAGAGAAAUACAGUGCAUUCAGAAAGUAUUCAGACCCCUUGAUAUUUUCCACAUUUUGUUACUACACAACCUUAUUCCAAAAUGGAUUAAAUAUGAUUUUUUACUCAUCAAUCUACACACGAUACCAUAAUGACAAAGUGAAAAGAUUGUAUUUUUUU
Long non-coding RNA from Oncorhynchus tshawytscha (Chinook salmon), 1437 nucleotides. NCBI's taxonomy places the organism in Eukaryota, Metazoa, Chordata, Actinopteri, Salmoniformes, Salmonidae. The record is from Ensembl.